RNAcentral lists this ribosomal RNA (326 nucleotides) under uncultured eukaryote. RNAcentral describes it as "partial 18S ribosomal RNA". It matches the Rfam family "Eukaryotic small subunit ribosomal RNA", at positions 1470 to 1796 of the family's 1831-position model. The record is from RNAcentral.
CCCUUAGAUGUUCUGGGCCGCACGCGCGCUACACUGAUGCAUUCAACGAGUUCCUACCUUGGCCGAGAGGCCUGGGCAAUCUUUUGAACUUGCAUCGUGAUAGGGAUAGAUUAUUGCAAUUAUUAAUCUUGAACGAGGAAUUCCUAGUAAACGCAGAUCAUCAAUCUGCAUUGAUUACGUCCCUGCCCUUUGUACACACCGCCCGUCGCACCUACCGAUUGAAUGGUCCGGUGAAGCCUCGGGAUUGUGGUUAGUUUCCUUCAUUGGAAGUUAGCCGCGAGAACUUGUCUAAACCUUAUCAUUUAGAGGAAGGUGAAGUCGUAACA